This 520-nucleotide ribosomal RNA is filed under the name uncultured Diversispora. Its description in RNAcentral is "SSU rRNA". It matches the Rfam family "Eukaryotic small subunit ribosomal RNA", at positions 569 to 1089 of the family's 1831-position model. The record is from RNAcentral. Lineage: Eukaryota; Fungi; Glomeromycota; Glomeromycetes; Diversisporales; Diversisporaceae.
AGCAGCCGCGGUAAUUCCAGCUCCAAUAGCGUAUAUUAAAGUUGUUGCAGUUAAAAAGCUCGUAGUUGAACUUCGGGGUUUACCCAUUGGUCAGGCUUAAUUGUCUGUACUGGUGAGAUAAAUCUCUACCUUCUGAGGAACUUUCAUGUCAUUAAUUUGGUGUGAUUGGAAAUCAGGACUGUUACUUUGAAAAAUUAGAGUGUUUAAAGCAGGCUAACGUCUGAAUACAUUAGCAUGGAAUAAUGAAAUAGGACGGCUUGAUUCUAUUUCGUUGGUUUCUAGGAUCACCGUAAUGAUUAAUAGGGAUAGUUGGGGGCAUUAGUAUUCAAUUGUCAGAGGUGAAAUUCUUGGAUUUAUUGAAGACUAACUACUGCGAAAGCAUUUGCCAAGGAUGUUUUCAUUAAUCAAGAACGAAAGUUAGGGGAUCGAAGACGAUCAGAUACCGUCGUAGUCUUAACCAUAAACUAUGCCGACUAGGGAUCGGACGAAGUUAAUUUUAUAAUGACGCGUUCGGCACCUU